Molecule: ribosomal RNA, 253 nt
Filed under: uncultured bacterium
Lineage: Bacteria
Description: partial 16S ribosomal RNA
Rfam family: Bacterial small subunit ribosomal RNA
Source: RNAcentral
UACGGAGGGUGCUAGCGUUGUUCGGAAUUACUGGGCGUAAAGCGCGCGUAGGCGGAUCUGCAAGUCGGGAGUGAAAGCCCGAGGCUCAACCUCGGAACUGCCUUCGAUACUGAGGGUCUUGAGUCCGGGAGAGGUGAGUGGAAUUCCUAGUGUAGAGGUGAAAUUCGUAGAUAUUAGGAAGAACACCAGUGGCGAAGGCGGCUCACUGGCCCGGUACUGACGGUGAGGUGUGAAAGCGUGGGGAGCAAAUAUG